UACCGUAUUUAUUUAUCGCUUUGGUAGGUCAGGGCUCGGCCCCGCGUCGAUCGGGUAGCUUUUUGGCAGAUCAGUUAGGUCGUUUCGGUUUUCGGUGCGGCUCUAUCAAGUUAAGGGGGGUGGGAGCCUUUUAUCCUGCCCACGGGCAUUUGGGUCGACUUCCGGGUAAAAUAGGGGCAAGGGAAAGAAACUAAUCGGUUCCAAAACCCGGUUUGUUACCCCGACUACACUGCUUUUGACCCGAUUACCCGACUUUUACCUCGAUUCUUACCCAGAAAUUUUAUUCAAGCUUAAAAUUCGGGUAAUUCAUCGUAUUUUUCAUGGUUUUGUAAUUUGGUGCCGCGCAUCCGCCAAAAUUUCAAGAUGGCGCCGGGUCUAUCGGUUUCGCCGGGUAUUUUGAACCGAACCGCUUGAAAACUACCUACCCGGGUCGCAACCGAUCGGCCAUUUUUCGGGUAGGUCAGUGUGGUUUUUUGGGGUUCAGGUAAUCGUGGCCAAGGUGUGUGUUGUUCUGUGGCAUAUUCGACUGAACGGCUUGGUUGGACAGGUAUUAAGCGGGGAGCUAAUACUUUUUGUACAAACCUGAGGGACACUCUUUUUCACAACACACACAAUUGUUUGAAGAUUGAUUUUCACUAGACGUCAUUUGAAUGUUGCAGUUCCUUUCCGCAGCCCUGCAGUGUGAAAAAAUAGGCAGUG
This is a long non-coding RNA of Daphnia magna, 699 nucleotides long. RefSeq lists it as uncharacterized. The record is from RefSeq and is a predicted model, not a curated record. The transcript has 2 exons. Lineage: Eukaryota; Metazoa; Arthropoda; Branchiopoda; Diplostraca; Daphniidae.